UAUUGGACAAUGGGCGAAAGCCUGAUCCAGCAAUGCCGCGUGAGUGAAGAAGGCCUUCGGGUUGUAAAGCUCUUUUGUCAGGGAAGAAACACCGGCUCUAACACAGUCCGGGAAUGACGGUACCUGAAGAAUAAGCACCGGCUAACUACGUGCCAGCAGCCGCGGUAAUACGUAGGGUGCAAGCGUUAAUCGGAAUUACUGGGCGUAAAGCGUGCGCAGGCGGUUAUACAAGACAGGCGUGAAAUCCCCGGGCUUAACCUGGGAAUGGCGCCUGUGACUGUAUAGCUAGAGUGUGUCAGAGGGGGGUAGAAUUCCACGUGUAGCAGUGAAAUGCGUAGAUAUGUGGAGGAAUACCAAUGGCGAAGGCAGCCCCCUGGGAUAACACUACACUCAUGCACGAA
Molecule: ribosomal RNA, 401 nt
Filed under: uncultured bacterium
Lineage: Bacteria
Description: bacterial SSU rRNA
Rfam family: Bacterial small subunit ribosomal RNA
Source: RNAcentral